GUGUUCACUUCUGCAGCACAUAUACUAAAAAAAUACUGGAAUGAUACAGAGAAGACUACCAUGGCCCUAGAACAAGGAUGACAUGCAAAUUUGUGCAUUGUUCCAUAUUUUU
This is a small nuclear RNA of Fukomys damarensis (Damara mole-rat), 112 nucleotides long. The record is from Ensembl. Lineage: Eukaryota; Metazoa; Chordata; Mammalia; Rodentia; Bathyergidae.